GACUCUCGGCAACGGAUAUCUCGGCUCUCGCAUCGAUGAAGAACGUAGCGAAAAUGCGAUACUUGGUGUGAAUUGCAGAAUCCCGUGAACCAUCGAGUCUUUGAACGCAAGUUGCGCCCGAGGCCUCCUGGUCGAGGGCACGUCUGCCUGGGUGUCA
This 157-nucleotide ribosomal RNA is filed under the name Salix viminalis (osier). It matches the Rfam family "5.8S ribosomal RNA". Rfam says of the family: 5.8S ribosomal RNA (5.8S rRNA) is a component of the large subunit of the eukaryotic ribosome. It is transcribed by RNA polymerase I as part of the 45S precursor that also contains 18S and 28S rRNA. The record is from RNAcentral. Lineage: Eukaryota; Viridiplantae; Streptophyta; Magnoliopsida; Malpighiales; Salicaceae.